CGGCCGCGGUAUCCUAACCGUGCGAAGGUAGCGUAAUCACUUGUUCUUUAAAUGUGGACUAGUAUGAAUGGCACCACGAAGGUUAUACUGUCUCCUUUUUCCAAUCAGUGAAACUAAUCUCCCCGUGAAGAAGCGGGGAUAAAACUAUAAGACGAGAAGACCCUAUGGAGCUUUAAACAAUAUAGCACUUGCCACAAAAAGUAAAAAUUUCCUAAUUACUAAAUUUUCAAAGCAACAUGACUAUGAGUUUUUGGUUGGGGUGACCGCGGAGCAUAAUACAACCUCCAUGCUGGAAGAAUCUCUUUCUAAGCUAAGAACUACUCAUCUAAGCAUCAACAUAUUGACAUCCAUUGACCCAAUAUACUUGAACAACGAACCAAGUUACCCUAGGGAUAACAGCGCAAUCCACUUCAAGAGCUCCUAUCGACAAGUGGGUUUACGACCUCGAUGUUGGAUCAGGGUUCCCCAGUGGU
RNAcentral lists this ribosomal RNA (473 nucleotides) under Strauchbufo raddei (Mongolian toad). RNAcentral describes it as "partial large subunit ribosomal RNA". It matches the Rfam family "Bacterial large subunit ribosomal RNA", at positions 1928 to 2554 of the family's 2925-position model. Lineage: Eukaryota; Metazoa; Chordata; Amphibia; Anura; Bufonidae. The record is from RNAcentral.